GGGGGAGUAGCUCAGUUGGGAGAGCGCCUGCCUUGCAAGCAGGAGGUCGGCGGUUCGAAUCCGCUCUUCUCCACCA
RNAcentral lists this transfer RNA (76 nucleotides) under Syntrophaceticus schinkii. Its description in RNAcentral is "tRNA-Ala". It matches the Rfam family "tRNA". Rfam says of the family: Transfer RNA (tRNA) molecules are approximately 80 nucleotides in length. Their secondary structure includes four short double-helical elements and three loops (D, anti-codon, and T loops). Further hydrogen bonds mediate the characteristic L-shaped molecular structure. tRNAs have two regions of fundamental functional importance: the anti-codon, which is responsible for specific mRNA codon recognition, and the 3' end, to which the tRNAs corresponding amino acid is attached (by aminoacyl-tRNA synthetases). tRNAs cope with the degeneracy of the genetic code in two manners: having more than one tRNA (with a specific anti-codon) for a particular amino acid; and 'wobble' base-pairing, i.e. permitting non-standard base-pairing at the 3rd anti-codon position. The record is from RNAcentral. Lineage: Bacteria; Bacillati; Bacillota; Clostridia; Thermoanaerobacterales; Thermoanaerobacterales Family III. Incertae Sedis.